GACUGUGGUUUCCACUGGACUUCUCUGCUGGCUGCAUUGCUGCUGGUUUUAUAUCUCGGCCUAGUUCCCUGAAGUUCCUAUCAAAGCAAGGAGAGGAGGAGCAAGAUGGCAAAAUAGAUGGCUCCACUGAUCUCCACCUGCCAACAAGGACAUCAAUAUAACAGCUAUCUACACAGAAAAAAGCACCUUCAUAUAAGCAAAAUGCAGGUAUUAAAUUAUGAAAUAUAUAUAUGUCUUCAAAUCAAUUAAAUAUAAAAGAAGACAUACAUAUGGCCAGUGGGAAUAUAAAAAAUGCUCAACAUCACUAAACAUCAGGGAAAUGCCAAUUAAAACCACAAUGAGAUAUCACCUCACAUCUGUUAAAACGGCUGUUGUCUAAAAGACAAAAGAUAUAUAUUCAAAGGAAACGAAGUCAGCAUGUCAAAGAGAUAUCUGCACUCCCAUGUUCAUUGCAAGCACUAUUUACAAUAACCAAAAUAUGGAAUCAACCUAAGUGUCCAUCAAUGUAUGAACAGAUGAAGAAAAUGUGCUCUAUAUAUACAAUGGAAUACUACUCAGCUAUUAAACAGUAAGGAAAUCCUGCCAUUUGAACGACAUGAACGAACUUGGAGGACAUUAGGCACAGAGAGACAAACACUGCAUGAUUUCACUUAUAUAUGGAACCAAAAAGUUGAACUUUAGCAGAGAGUGAAAUGGUGAGUACCCAGGGGUUGGAUUGGGAGAAAGGGGGUGAUGUGGAUAUGUCGAUCAAAGUUACAAAGUUUCAGUCAGACAAGAGGAGUGUAAGUUCUGGAGAUCUAUUGUAUAGCAUGGUAACUAUAGUUAAUGUGCACUUGAAAAUUGCUAAGACAGUAGACUUAAAAUGUUCUCACCACAAAAAAUGAUAAGUAUGUGAGGUGAAGUAUCUGUUAAUU
Molecule: long non-coding RNA, 914 nt
Filed under: Homo sapiens (human)
Lineage: Eukaryota; Metazoa; Chordata; Mammalia; Primates; Hominidae
Description: HSALNT0063830
Source: RNAcentral